This 495-nucleotide ribosomal RNA is filed under the name uncultured bacterium. Its description in RNAcentral is "partial 16S ribosomal RNA". It matches the Rfam family "Bacterial small subunit ribosomal RNA", at positions 28 to 507 of the family's 1533-position model. The record is from RNAcentral.
GACGAACGCUGGCGGCGUGCCUAAUACAUGCCAGUAGAACGCUGAAGGAGGAGCUUGCUUCUCUGGAUGAGUUGCGAACGGGUGAGUAACGCGUAGGUAACCUGCCUGGUAGCGGGGGAUAACUAUUGGAAACGAUAGCUAAUACCGCAUAAGAGUAGAUGUUGCAUGACAUUUGCUUAAAAGGUGCAAUUGCAUCACUACCAGAUGGACCUGCGUUGUAUUAGCUAGUUGGUGAGGUAACGGCUCACCAAGGCGACGAUACAUAGCCGACCUGAGAGGGUGAUCGGCCACACUGGGACUGAGACACGGCCCAGACUCCUACGGGAGGCAGCAGUAGGGAAUCUUCGGCAAUGGACGGAAGUCUGACCGAGCAACGCCGCGUGAGUGAAGAAGGGUUUCGGAUCGUAAAGCUCUGUUGUAAGAGAAGAACGAGUGUGAGAGUGGAAAGUUCACACUGUGACGGUAUCUUACCAGAAAGGGACGGCUAACUACGUG